CCAGACUCCUAUGGGAGGCAGCAGUGGGGAAUAUUGGGCAAUGGGCGCAAGCCUGACCCAGCAACGCCGCGUGAAGGAAGAAGGCUUUCGGGUUGUAAACUUCUUUUGACAGGGAAGAGUAGAAGACGGUACCUGUCGAAUAAGCCACGGCUAACUACGUGCCAGCAGCCGCGGUAAUACGUAGGUGGCAAGCGUUGUCCGGAUUUACUGGGUGUAAAGGGCGUGCAGCCGGGAGUACAAGUCAGAUGUGAAAUCCCGCGGCUCAACCGCGGAACUGCAUUUGAAACUGUAUUUCUUGAGUACUGGAGAGGCAGACGGAAUUCCUAGUGUAGCGGUGAAAUGCGUAGAUAUUAGGAGGAACGCCAGUGGCGAAGGCGGUCUGCCGGACAGCAACUGACGGUGAGGCGCGAAAGCGUGGGGAGCAAACAGGAUUAGAUACCCGAGUA
Molecule: ribosomal RNA, 446 nt
Filed under: uncultured bacterium
Lineage: Bacteria
Description: bacterial SSU rRNA
Rfam family: Bacterial small subunit ribosomal RNA
Source: RNAcentral